CUCAACGUGUAAACAAAGACGCACGAAUUGCACAAGCCCAAUGGUAAUUUAAUCACGUCAAACGCACGUGUAGUAGUGUGCAAAGGGUGCAAUCCAUGUAAUUUGUUGAUCUAAUAUUACACUUUCAUUGCUUCACCGAUGGCUGGCGUCGACUGGCGACAAAAUGACGAAAAAACUUAAGAAUUCAAACUCGUUUUCUAUAAUUAUUAUGAUGGGACAGGAUGGGAGAAAGAGUAUCAAGAGCAACAUGCCCUGACCCGUGAAGCCGGUGUACGCUGAUGUCAUAAAUGUAUUUUUCCUCGUUUACAUUCUCAGUAGACAACCUACGCG
Dalotia coriaria is the source of this 330-nucleotide long non-coding RNA. RefSeq lists it as uncharacterized. The record is from RefSeq and is a predicted model, not a curated record. The transcript is spliced from 2 exons. NCBI's taxonomy places the organism in Eukaryota, Metazoa, Arthropoda, Insecta, Coleoptera, Staphylinidae.